ACAUGCCAACAUCAAGAUUACCAACCCAAGUCGUGGAUACUUCUCAGUCAAAAGAUGGACCAACAUCAGCUGAAGCCAUUUCACAUCCGAUCAACAUGCCAACAUCAAGAUUACCAACCCAAGUCGUGGAUACUUCUCAGUCAAAAGAUGGUAAAACAUUUGCUUUUUUUAAGCGACUUAACAGGUUGUUGCAAACUCAUUAACCCAUUUGAAAACAUCUUCGAUUAAAUUUCCGCAUACAUAUGAAACAAUAAUAAUAAUUCACUUGAAACUUAAUAAAAAAUAGUGCCAUGCACUGUAAGUCACCUGGAUAUGUAGUCAACAAUAUCAGAAACUGAAGUGAAACUAGGUAUUUUACUGUCACUGCGUGAUUGGGUCAGUGGGCUAGCUUAGAGAUUAAAGCAUUCGCGCGUCACCCUGAAGGCCCGGGUUCGAUUACCCAUAUUGGUACAAUGUGUGAUGACCAUUUCUGGUAAAUUUCAUACCAAUUAAUAAAACACAUGUUGUAUAAAGCUAUUAGUAUUUGUCAAGAGGACGUGUAACUACACUUUCCAAAAAAAUAAACGAACAGGUAGUAUGUAGUUUAUUGAACCUGGCUACACAAGAAAUCCGGUUUAUGAAUUGGAUAUAUGUUAUUGUCCUGAUAUUCGACAAAUGACAGCCUUUGUAGAUUUGCAAUGUCUUAAACGGCUUUGUUUUCACACAUGUU
Molecule: long non-coding RNA, 709 nt
Organism: Haliotis rufescens (red abalone)
Lineage: Eukaryota; Metazoa; Mollusca; Gastropoda; Lepetellida; Haliotidae
Exons: 2
Source: RefSeq, a predicted model, not a curated record